AAACGACUCUCGGCAACGGAUAUCUCGGCUCACGCAUCGAUGAAGAACGUAGCAAAAUGCGAUACUUGGUGUGAAUUGCAGAAUCCCGUGAACCAUCGAGUUUUUGAACGCAAGUUGCGCCCGAAGCCUUUCGGCCGAGGGCACGUCUGCCUGGGCGUCACACA
This 164-nucleotide ribosomal RNA is filed under the name Haplocarpha scaposa. RNAcentral describes it as "5.8S ribosomal RNA". It matches the Rfam family "5.8S ribosomal RNA". From Rfam's summary of the family: 5.8S ribosomal RNA (5.8S rRNA) is a component of the large subunit of the eukaryotic ribosome. It is transcribed by RNA polymerase I as part of the 45S precursor that also contains 18S and 28S rRNA. The record is from RNAcentral. Lineage: Eukaryota; Viridiplantae; Streptophyta; Magnoliopsida; Asterales; Asteraceae.